CACCCCAGCUAGCAAAAUAUUUAAUUAUACAAUAUUUAAAUUAGUUAAUUAAAUAAAUGUAACCCCUGAGGGUUAAAAAAUAAAUAAAAGUUAAUCGUCAGGGGUUAAAAAAAUUAGAUCACAGUAUAAUACUGUGAUCUGUAUUUUGAUCACUGUAGGCAGUGAUCGACUGGCAGGGAAGGGGUUAAUUUUUAUUUGGACUGGGUAAAGGGUUAAUUUUUUUUGUUUUACUUAAACGUUAUUAAAACUUUUUUAACUUAAUUUUUUUACUUUUUAAAGCUUAUUUUAAAACUUUUUUUAACGUUAACCCCUAGUUAGCCUAACACUAAAUCCCCCAAUUCCCAACUAACUUCCACCCUCCCCAGCUAGCUAAAUUUAUAAUUUUAAAAUAUUUAAAUUAAUUAAUAAAAUAAAUUUAACCCCUGAGGUUUAAAAAAAAAAAAUUAACCCUCAGGGGUUAAAAAAAAAUCCGAUCAUAGUAAAAUGUAAUCCCUGCCAAUUGAUCACUGUAGUCAGUGAUCAAUUGUCAGGGAAGGGGUUAAUUUUUUAUUGAAAGGGGUAAAGGGGGGUGGGAUUUUAAACUAACUUUAUUUUUUUUAACAGGGGGCAGGAUCACUGAUGAUCCAUCUCCCUGCACUUCACAGUGAACCCGGAAGUGCAGGGAGGCGGAGGUGAGUAUACUGAGCACAUGUGCUCAGUCUGACAUGCUGUCAGAGCAGGCACAUGUGCUGGGGCAGCACUAUCGGGUGCUCCCGGUCUGCCUCUAAUACAGAGGCAGACUGGAGCACCAUUAACCCCGCGAUUGCGGCGAUCUGGGGUUCAUUUUAACGGGUGACUCGUCGUUAAGGGUUUCCCAUGACUGACGGACCUCGUCUGUCACUCGUCGUUAAGGGGUUAAUGACCAGUGCUGUUUUAACACGUUUGUGGUGUUUGUGUUUAGCUGUAAUUUUCAAGUUAUAUAUUGUUUUUUGUUUUUUUUUGCUUUCUUUACAUACCGUUAUUUGUAUCAUGUCAUAUAUUUUACUUAAAAUAAAAAUAAGAUAUGGCGAAAAAUUUAAAUAAAAAACAUGUUUUGGGAUUUUACUUGAAAAAUAUUUUACUUAUCUACAAAAGCUAAUUAAAUAACUGCUACAUAGAUUCUAAAUGUUGUCCCGAGUUUAAAAACACCCAGUGUUUACAUGCUUUUUUUUUUGUGCAAGUUAUAGUUUGUGACUAAGUGACUACUAAAAAUGGUUGAAAA
This is a non-coding RNA of Pelobates cultripes (western spadefoot toad), 1240 nucleotides long. NCBI's taxonomy places the organism in Eukaryota, Metazoa, Chordata, Amphibia, Anura, Pelobatidae. The record is from the annotation of a GenBank genome assembly.